GAUGCCGUUGGACAAAGGGCGCUCGGUGCUGUGAGUGCUGGGGCAGCUCGGUCACACCGUGGCAUCAGCUGGGAAUUGCACACAGCCUGUUGAGCACAAGGGGCAUGUGGAAAUCGCCAGAUGAAAGCACGUGGCUGAAAUUAAGCAGGAGGAGAACUUACACUGGUAGCAGGCAACGAGGAUGAGGGUAAAAUCAAGAUGUAAGGAAUGCUUGAGUCCUUUUGGAGUUCUGUACGGCAGACCCGACCGAUUUCAGUUUAAAGGGAAGCUCUGAGUCAAUGAGAAAGGACAGGGUUACACACACACCUACAGGACGCUCUCCUGCUGUGUCAUGAGGAUCAGAGCCAACCCCAUUGCUGUGUGAACUCUGCAAAGCACAGAGAUCACAGCAGAGUGAGUCUGCCUGCAUCAGCAGAAGAGCUGCCUUUGUGGAGGUGCAGAUGCAGCCGGCCGUUGUGGAAUUCAUCUUGACCACUCAGAUGUCUUGUACUCCAAAUCCAGCCCGCUCUUUGGAGAUGG
Long non-coding RNA from Lagopus leucura (white-tailed ptarmigan), 519 nucleotides. RefSeq lists it as uncharacterized. The transcript is spliced from 3 exons. The record is from RefSeq and is a predicted model, not a curated record. NCBI's taxonomy places the organism in Eukaryota, Metazoa, Chordata, Aves, Galliformes, Phasianidae.